UUUGCAUGACCGAGGAGCCGC
This 21-nucleotide microRNA is filed under the name Brachypodium distachyon (stiff brome). RNAcentral describes it as "bdi-miR159b-3p.3". Its record names the gene bdi-miR159b-3p.3. Lineage: Eukaryota; Viridiplantae; Streptophyta; Magnoliopsida; Poales; Poaceae. The record is from miRBase by way of RNAcentral.